UCCGGUUUGUCACCGGCAGUCACCUUAGAGUGCCCAACUUAAUGCUGGCAACUAAGAUCAAGGGUUGCGCUCGUUGCGGGACUUAACCCAACAUCUCACGACACGAGCUGACGACAACCAUGCACCACCUGUCACUUUGUCCCCGAAGGGUAAACUUGAUCUCUCAAGCGGUCAAAGGAUGUCAAGUCCUGGUAAGGUUCUUCGCGUUGCUUCGAAUUAAACCACAUGCUCCACUGCUUGUGCGGGCCCCCGUCAAUUCCUUUGAGUUUCAACCUUGCGGCCGUACUCCCCAGGCGGAGUGCUUAAUGUGUUAACUUCAGCACCAAGGGUAUUGAAACCCCUGACACCUAGCACUCAUCGUUUACGGCGUGGACUAC
Molecule: unclassified non-coding RNA, 377 nt
Filed under: Bacillus sp. (in: firmicutes)
Lineage: Bacteria; Bacillati; Bacillota; Bacilli; Caryophanales; Bacillaceae
Description: Bacillus sp. (in: Bacteria) contains 16S-23S intergenic spacer region
Source: RNAcentral